This 19-nucleotide unclassified non-coding RNA is filed under the name Mus musculus (house mouse). RNAcentral's name for it is "oocyte_clustered_small_RNA11562". Lineage: Eukaryota; Metazoa; Chordata; Mammalia; Rodentia; Muridae. The record is from RNAcentral.
GGCGCUUCUUCCGAGAUCG